CCUACGGGUGGCAGCAGUGAGGAAUAUUGGUCAAUGGACGAGAGUCUGAACCAGCCAAGUAGCGUGAAGGAUGACUGCCCUAUGGGUUGUAAACUUCUUUUAUAUGGGAAUAAAAUGUUCCACGUGUGGGAUUUUGUAUGUACCAUAUGAAUAAGGCUCGGCUAACUCCGUGCCAGCAGCCGCGGUAAUACGGAGGCUCCGAGCGUUAUCCGGAUUUAUUGGGUUUAAAGGGAGCGUAGGUGGAUUGUUAAGUCAGUUGUGAAAGUUUGCGGCUCAACCGUAAAAUUGCAGUUGAAACUGGCAGUCUUGAGUACAGUAGAGGUGGGCGGAAGUCGUGGUGUAGCGGUGAAAUGCUUAGAUAUCACGAAGAACUCCGAUGGCGAAGGCAGUUCACUGGACUGCAACUGACACUGAGGCUCGAAAGUGUGGGUAUCAAACAGGAUUAGAUACCCGAGUAGUC
This 460-nucleotide ribosomal RNA is filed under the name uncultured bacterium. RNAcentral's name for it is "partial 16S ribosomal RNA". It matches the Rfam family "Bacterial small subunit ribosomal RNA", at positions 338 to 795 of the family's 1533-position model. The record is from RNAcentral.